CCAGACUCCUACGGGAGGCAGCAGUGGGGAAUAUUGGGCAAUGGGCGCAAGCCUGACCCAGCAACGCCGCGUGAAGGAAGAAGGCUUUCGGGUUGUAAACUUCUUUUGUCAGGGACGAAGCAAGUGACGGUACCUGACGAAUAAGCCACGGCUAACUACGUGCCAGCCGCCGCGGUAAUACGUAGGUGGCAAGCGUUAUCCGGAUUUACUGGGUGUAAAGGGCGUGUAGGCGGGACUGCAAGUCAGAUGUGAAAACCACGGGCUCAACCUGUGGCCUGCAUUUGAAACUGUAGUUCUUGAGUACUGGAGAGGCAGACGGAAUUCCUAGUGUAGCGGUGAAAUGCGUAGAUAUUAGGAGGGACACCAGUGGCGAAGGCGGUCUGCUGGACAGCAACUGACGCUGAGGCGCGAAAGCGUGGGGAGCAAACAGGAUUAGAUACCCGCGUAUU
Molecule: ribosomal RNA, 449 nt
Filed under: uncultured bacterium
Lineage: Bacteria
Description: partial 16S ribosomal RNA
Rfam family: Bacterial small subunit ribosomal RNA
Source: RNAcentral